AUGACACGUUCGAUGAUGACCGCCGCGAUUUUCCUCGCAACUAAGUCAAUACGGUAACUAAGACCGAAAGGCUGCUGGUCAGGCUACCACUGACAGGCUGUGAGCUUUCAGGGGUAUUGGCCUCCAAGCGCCCGAUUCUUGAGAGUUUUCGACAGAGUUGGCCUAUCGCCUUUCCAGUGCCGCAUGCCAACGCGCUUAUUCAAUGAAGUUAGCACUCAGUCUGUCUGUGGCCCUUGUCGUUCAGAGGGAGGAUCAGCAAGGAUUGGCAGGGGAUUAUCACGAGAAUCCGUCAGUUUAUUGACGCCCUCCCUACCCUAAGUUCCCCUCUCACAGUCAUUUGACUUCGAUGCGCCAGAUUUGGUUGCUGUUGCCGAACAGUUCGCAAUUUUUUAGGGCCUAAUAUUGACAACAAAAUGAAAGAAACUAAAUAAAGAAAAAAAAACAAAUAAAGAUAAUCUUGAUCAAUCAUUGACGAGAGCUUUACUCCCUGGUGUCAAUGAAAGAGAUAGUCUUGCACCUGCCAAGCCCGACAUUGGACAAAAAGUUCGCCGCUAGAGGCGAGACUGAUAAAUUGGUCACAAAACUCCGAGUUAGCCAACCCAGCUUUGAAGUAUACCAAAAGCCAAAUCACACCG
RNAcentral lists this small RNA (635 nucleotides) under Histoplasma capsulatum. RNAcentral describes it as "hypothetical RNA". The record is from RNAcentral. RNAcentral also lists the same sequence under 1 other name. Lineage: Eukaryota; Fungi; Ascomycota; Eurotiomycetes; Onygenales; Ajellomycetaceae.